CCGAAAAUAGCUCAGCGGUAGAGCGGGAGACUGUAGUUUCAGAGUACAUUGUUGUAGUUAUCUCUAGGUCCCUGGUUCAAAUCCGGGUUUUCGGA
Molecule: transfer RNA, 95 nt
Filed under: Coemansia aciculifera
Lineage: Eukaryota; Fungi; Kickxellomycota; Kickxellomycetes; Kickxellales; Kickxellaceae
Also listed under: 1 other name
Description: tRNA-Tyr
Rfam family: tRNA
About the family: Transfer RNA (tRNA) molecules are approximately 80 nucleotides in length. Their secondary structure includes four short double-helical elements and three loops (D, anti-codon, and T loops).
Source: RNAcentral